Molecule: ribosomal RNA, 408 nt
Filed under: uncultured bacterium
Lineage: Bacteria
Description: partial 16S ribosomal RNA
Rfam family: Bacterial small subunit ribosomal RNA
Source: RNAcentral
AGUGAACGCUGGCGGCGUGCCUAAUACAUGCAAGUCGAACGGAGUGACGCACGGGUGAGUAAUUUAUAGCUAAUCUACCGUACACUAGAGGACAACAAUUGGAAACGGCUGCUAAUACUCUAUAGUGUAGGAUGAGGCUAUAUUGUAUCAGCUAGUUGGUGAGGUGAUGACUCUCCAAGGCGAUGACGCAUAACUGGUCUGAGAGGACGAUCAGUAACACUGGAACGGAGACACCGUUCAGACUCCUACCGGAGGCAGCAGUAGGGUAUAUUGCUCAAUGGGGGAAAACCUGAAGCAUCAACGCCUUGUGGAGGAUGACACUUUUCGGAGCGUAAACUCCUUUUGUUAGGGAAGCGGUACCUAACGAAUAAGCACCGGCUAACUCCGUGCCAGCAGCCGCGGUAAUAC